UACGUAGGUGGCAAGCGUUGUCCGGAAUUAUUGGGCGUAAAGCGCGCGCGAGGCGGUCCUUUAAGUCUGAUGUGAAAGCCCACGGCUCAACCGUGGAGGGUCAUUGGAAACUGGGGGACUUGAGUGCAGGAGAGAAGAGUGGAAUUCCACGUGUAGCGGUGAAAUGCGUAGAGAUGUGGAGGAACACCAGUGGCGAAGGCGACUCUUUGGCCUGUAACUGACGCUGGAGGCGCGAAAGCGUGGGUAGCAAACAGG
This 255-nucleotide ribosomal RNA is filed under the name uncultured bacterium. RNAcentral's name for it is "partial 16S ribosomal RNA". It matches the Rfam family "Bacterial small subunit ribosomal RNA", at positions 524 to 776 of the family's 1533-position model. The record is from RNAcentral.